CUUGGGAUAGCUAGUGUCGGAGUUUCUGACAUUUUGUAUUCAGGUUGAAUACAAGUAUAGUGGAUUGAAAUUCCCAAGUAGGAGCUUGGGGAGUGGAUGUAGGUGCAGGGUUGGCACCGAACCACUAUAAAUCUUUGUGUUUGUGGUGUGCUUUAUCGCUUCACUUUAUUUCUUUAUUAUAUCCUUGCAUUCCUGUUUUAGGUAUUUAAUAUUGAAUUAAAAUCUUUGUCUUGUUCAUCAU
This 241-nucleotide long non-coding RNA is filed under the name Elaeis guineensis (African oil palm). Its description in RNAcentral is "long non-coding RNA (EGUI_LNC037442)". Lineage: Eukaryota; Viridiplantae; Streptophyta; Magnoliopsida; Arecales; Arecaceae. The record is from RNAcentral.